This 238-nucleotide ribosomal RNA is filed under the name uncultured bacterium. Its description in RNAcentral is "partial 16S ribosomal RNA". It matches the Rfam family "Bacterial small subunit ribosomal RNA", at positions 100 to 334 of the family's 1533-position model. The record is from RNAcentral.
CCGGCACGGGUGAGUAACACGUAUCCAACCUGCCGUCUACUCUUGGACAGCCUUCCUGAAAGGAAGAUUAAUACAAGAUGGCAUCAUGAAUCUACAUGUUCACAUGAUUAAAGGUAUUCCGGUAGACGAUGGGGAUGCGUUCCAUUAGAUAGUAGGCGGGGUAACGGCCCACCUAGUCUUCGAUGGAUAGGGGUUCUGAGAGGAAGGUCCCCCACAUUGGAACUGAGACACGGUCCAA